Molecule: ribosomal RNA, 253 nt
Filed under: uncultured bacterium
Lineage: Bacteria
Description: partial 16S ribosomal RNA
Rfam family: Bacterial small subunit ribosomal RNA
Source: RNAcentral
UACGGGGGGGGCAAGCGUUGUUCGGAAUUACUGGGCGUAAAGGGCUCGUAGGCGGCCAACUAAGUCAGACGUGAAAUCCCCAGGCUCAACCUGGGAACUGCGUCUGAUACUGGAUGGCUUGAAUUCGGGAGAGGGAUGCAGAAUUCCAGGUGUAGCGGUGAAAUGCGUAGAUAUCUGGAGGAAUACCGGUGGCGAAGGCAGCUCGCUGGGACGGUACUGACGCUGAGACGCGAAAGCGUGGGGAGCAAACAGG